UGGGGAAUCUUGGACAAUGGGGGCAACCCUGAUCCAGCCAUGCCGCGUGAGUGAUGAAGGCCUUAGGGUCGUAAAGCUCUUUCGCCUGUGAAGAUAAUGACGGUAGCAGGUAAAGAAACCCCGGCUAACUCCGUGCCAGCAGCCGCGGUAAUACGGAGGGGGUUAGCGUUGUUCGGAAUUACUGGGCGUAAAGCGCACGUAGGCGGACCAGAAAGUUGGGGGUGAAAUCCCGGGGGCUCAACCCCGGAACUGCCUCCAAAACUAUUGGUCUAGAGUUCGAGAGAGGUGAGUGGAAUUCCAAGUGUAGAGGUGAAAUUCGUAGAUAUUUGGAGGAACACCAGUGGCGAAGGCGGCUCACUGGCUCGAUACUGACGCUGAGGUGCGAAAAGUGUGGGGAGCAAAACAGGAUUAGAUACCCUGGUAGUCCACACCGUAAAACGAUGAAUGCCAGUCGUCGGGUAGCAUGCUAUUCGGUGACACACCUAAC
This 487-nucleotide ribosomal RNA is filed under the name uncultured bacterium. RNAcentral's name for it is "bacterial SSU rRNA". It matches the Rfam family "Bacterial small subunit ribosomal RNA", at positions 355 to 856 of the family's 1533-position model. The record is from RNAcentral.